RNAcentral lists this ribosomal RNA (263 nucleotides) under uncultured bacterium. Its description in RNAcentral is "partial 16S ribosomal RNA". It matches the Rfam family "Bacterial small subunit ribosomal RNA", at positions 793 to 1055 of the family's 1533-position model. The record is from RNAcentral.
GUCCAUGCCGUAAACGUUGGGCACUAGGUGUGGGGCUCAUUCCACGAGUUCCGUGCCGCAGCAAACGCAUUAAGUGCCCCGCCUGGGGAGUACGGCCGCAAGGCUAAAACUCAAAGGAAUUGACGGGGGCCCCGCACAAGCGGCGGAGCAUGCGGAUUAAUUCGAUGCAACGCGAAGAACCUUACCAAGGCUUGACAUACAUCGGAAAAGUGCAGAGAUGUGCUCCCCGCAAGGUCGGUGUACAGGUGGUGCAUGGUUGUCGU